UGUCCAUUCAGGACCAGUGUACGUUUCUUUGCAGAUAAACCUAUUUAGACUACACAGUGUCAAUGAAUUCUACUAUUACUUGGACUAUGGACAGGCCUGAUCCAAAGAAUGGGACACUGAAAUCAAAAGAAGGGAUCUGAUGGCAGAACUUUUGGCACAGCUCAAGCUCCCAGGCUGUCGGAGGGUGAACGCUGAGCACAUCAGAGAGAAUGACGAGACGUGAGAAGAACUCAGCUCAUGUGUCACUACUUGACAACACAGGACCCAAAAACAAUCAAGCAGAAAGUGAGGCUGUAGACCAGCCUGGCAUCAGUGAACUUCUUGUCAGCCUUCAACAAUUCACUCAUGCAUCCUUUUCAUGUAAACCUAGAAAAUACAUGUAAUACAAUACAGAAUCCUUGAUGUGACACUGGUUGGACUUUUUUAACUUAUAAGUAUAUAACUUGGAUAUGAUCAGUGAUUAAGUAUUCUAAAAUAAUGUGAAGAAAUUUUGCCACUAUAGUGCAGUUGCUAGCUGAAUUCAUAUGCUGCUGUUUGUGUUUGCUGUGUGGAUUAUUUAGUAUUCUUGAGCACCAAAGUCU
This 581-nucleotide long non-coding RNA is filed under the name Struthio camelus australis. Its description in RNAcentral is "lncRNA (ENSSCUG00000009029.1)". The record is from RNAcentral. Lineage: Eukaryota; Metazoa; Chordata; Aves; Struthioniformes; Struthionidae.